UGAGGAAUAUUGCACAAUGGGCGCAAGCCUGAUGCAGCGACGCCGCGUGUGGGAUGAAGGGGCUACGCCUCGUAAACCACUGUAGCCCGGGACGAAAAACGCCUUAGGGGCGUUAGACGGUACCGGGAAAGUAAGGGUCGGCUAACUACGUGCCAGCAGCCGCGGUAAUACGUAGGACCCAAGCGUUGUCCGGAUUUACUGGGUGUAAAGGGUGCGCAGGCGGAUGGGUAAGUCAGGGGUGAAAGUCUGCAGCUUAACUGUAGAAUUGCCUUUGAUACUGCUCAUCUUGAGUGUGGGAGAGGUUGAUGGAAUUCCAGGUGUAGCAGUGAAAUGCGUAGAUAUCUGGAAGAACACCAGUGGCGAAGGCGGUCAACUGGCCCAUAACUGACGCUCAGGCACGAAAGCGUGGGGAGCAAACA
RNAcentral lists this ribosomal RNA (419 nucleotides) under uncultured bacterium. RNAcentral's name for it is "bacterial SSU rRNA". It matches the Rfam family "Bacterial small subunit ribosomal RNA", at positions 355 to 774 of the family's 1533-position model. The record is from RNAcentral.